UCUUCCCUCUGGCGGCGUGCCUAAUACAUGCAAGUCGAGCGAACAGACGAGAAGCUUGCUCCUCUGACGUUAGCGGCGGACGGGUGAGUAACACGUGGAUAACCUACCUAUAAGACUGGGAUAACUUCGGGAAACCGGAGCUAAUACCGGAUAAUAUAAUGAACCGCAUGGUUCAAUAGUGAAAGACGGUUUUGCUGUCACUUAUAGAUGGAUCCGCGCCGCAUUAGCUAGUUGGUAAGGUAACGGCUUACCAAGGCAACGAUGCGUAGCCGCCCUGAGAGGGUGAUCGGCCACACUGGAACUGAGACACGGUCCAGACUCCUACGGGAGGCAGCAGUAGGGAAUCUUCCGCAAUGGGCGAAAGCCUGACGGAGCAACGCCGCGUGAGUGAUGAAGGUCUUCGGAUCGUAAAACUCUGUUAUUAGGGAAGAACAAAUGUGUAAGUAACUAUGCACGUCUUGACGGUACCUAAUCAGAAAGCCACGGCUAACUACGUG
Molecule: ribosomal RNA, 497 nt
Filed under: uncultured bacterium
Lineage: Bacteria
Description: partial 16S ribosomal RNA
Rfam family: Bacterial small subunit ribosomal RNA
Source: RNAcentral